Molecule: non-coding RNA, 1210 nt
Organism: Sesamum indicum (sesame)
Lineage: Eukaryota; Viridiplantae; Streptophyta; Magnoliopsida; Lamiales; Pedaliaceae
Source: RefSeq, a predicted model, not a curated record
UUAAAGGAAAUAUGUAUUUUGUGCGUACAACCAACGUGCUGUUCUGUUAAAUGCAAUGUCCCUUUUAAGACAUUCUUAAUAAAAUACACAUAGAAUUGUCGCACGCGACCAUAAGAAAAUAGGAAUUCGGUGCCGUCUAACUUAGUAAUUGGUUAAACUCACUUAAAAAUCGUUAGAUCGUAUGUAUUAAUACCAACAACACAAUGUCACCAGACAACAUCACAUACUAAUUUCCCUUAAUUCUUGAAACUCCAUUUUGGUGAUGUUUUGAAUAGAGGAUGAGAGAGGGGGGGAGGGACCAACCCAAGAUUUCCUCCUUUAGACAACAAAUGUAUGGUUAAUGUAACCUGGAAGAAGUAAUUAUGACAGCAUUUGUGUUCCCCUCAGUUUGAUUUCCUCUUAGUCCAAACAGUCUGUAAAGGUGGCUCUGAAUGAUCAUACUAAAUAACUGCUACAACUCAGCACAUCCCAAUCAAUUGCUGUGCAGAUGGUGACUCUCAAAAUCCCCUAAAACCUCUCUGCAAUCCGACAACAACUCCUUCCUCUCAUUUCAGAAUUGGACACAGAAACAAGAAGAGUCUUUAGUACUCUAUAUGGAGAUGAAGGACAGAAUGAUGAUCGCCACUCUACUGCUCUUCCUCCUGGUCGCCGUGCCAAGCUUUUCCAGAGGUUCUUUCUCUAGGGUGGUAUUUGCAGGGAGAUUGGAUGUGAAAAAUAAGGAUUCUGAGGUUUAUGUAAUUGACUACAGAGGUCCAGAGACUCACACCUACAUUCCACCACCAAAUCGUCGGACAAACAUGUCCCCUCAUCACAACCCCAAAAGAAAUGGGAAGAAAAUUCCAGGAUGAUGCAAUGGAGAGUGAAGCAGCAGGAUGAGUUGAUAUUCAUAUUUGUCAUUAUGAUUGUGGUGUGAUUUUGCUUCCAAGCCAUUAUACAGUGUAUUGUAAUGAAUGAACAUCCAAUUUGCUUUGCUUUUUAUGGAAAAUUCUAACCCAAAUCAUGUUAGUUGAAUUUGGGCCUACAGUUCAGAAAAAAAAACCAUAACCGGUGUAUUUUACUUGCUCCAAACUUGAUUUGAGUAAGAAUUUUUCUAGCUUUUAUUGUGGGCUGACAGGAUGGGUUUUUUCUUUCUUUUUUUAUUUUUUGACAUUUGUAGUUAUGAUGUUGAUAAUUACUUCAAUUAUUGGAAAUUUCCAUUCAAAUUAGGUUU